Molecule: small nuclear RNA, 165 nt
Organism: Etheostoma spectabile (orangethroat darter)
Lineage: Eukaryota; Metazoa; Chordata; Actinopteri; Perciformes; Percidae
Product: U1 spliceosomal RNA
Exons: 1
Source: RefSeq, a predicted model, not a curated record
AUACUUACCUGGCGGGGAGAUACCAUGGCAAAAGGUGGUUCACCCAGGGCGAGCGGCUUAUACCAUUGCACUCCGGUUAUGCGGACCCCUGACGAAUUCCCCAAAUGCGGGAAUCUCGACCUGCAUAAUGGGGGUAGGGCGGGACUGCGUUCGCGCUCUCCCCUG